GAGACCAAAAGUUUCCCCUUUUUCGCCGAAUCGCCUCUCCUCGGUGAGUUUCCCUCUCUUUUUUAUUAUUAUUUAUACUAUAUGUAUAUAAAUAGAUGAACAAAAAAAAAAGAAAAAGUAAAAUAAAAAAUGGUAAAAUAUGUAAAAACGAAAAGGGUCGGAAAUCACCUUUGAUUUUUUUGUUUCUUAUUUCUGUGAAAAACGUUACAAAAAGAAAAGGAAAAUAGAAUGAAAACCCCCCUCUACAAUGGUUUUUUAAUCGGUUUUGUACCGAAAAUCAUCCCCCCC
This 288-nucleotide long non-coding RNA is filed under the name Gossypium raimondii (Peruvian cotton). Its description in RNAcentral is "long non-coding RNA (GRAI_LNC004029)". Lineage: Eukaryota; Viridiplantae; Streptophyta; Magnoliopsida; Malvales; Malvaceae. The record is from RNAcentral.